Molecule: ribosomal RNA, 1360 nt
Filed under: uncultured bacterium
Lineage: Bacteria
Description: bacterial SSU rRNA
Rfam family: Bacterial small subunit ribosomal RNA
Source: RNAcentral
AUUGAACGCUGGCGGCAGGCCUAACACAUGCAAGUCGAGCGGUAGCACAGAGAGCUUGCUCUCGGGUGACGAGCGGCGGACGGGGGAGUAAUGUCUGGGAAACUGCCUGAUGGAGGGGGAUAACUACUGGAAACGGUAGCUAAUACCGCAUAACGUCGCAAGACCAAAGUGGGGGACCUUCGGGCCUCAUGCCAUCAGAUGUGCCCAGAUGGGAUUAGCUAGUAGGUGGGGUAACGGCUCACCUAGGCGACGAUCCCUAGCUGGUCUGAGAGGAUGACCAGCCACACUGGAACUGAGACACGGUCCAGACUCCUACGGGAGGCAGCAGUGGGGAAUAUUGCACAAUGGGCGCAAGCCUGAUGCAGCCAUGCCGCGUGUGUGAAGAAGGCCUUCGGGUUGUAAAGCACUUUCAGCGGGGAGGAAGGCGUUAAGGUUAAUAACCUUGGCGAUUGACGUUACCCGCAGAAGAAGCACCGGCUAACUCCGUGCCAGCAGCCGCGGUAAUACGGAGGGUGCAAGCGUUAAUCGGAAUUACUGGGCGUAAAGCGCACGCAGGCGGUCUGUCAGUCGGAUGUGAAAUCCCCGGGCUCAACCUGGGAACUGCAUUCGAAACUGGCAGGCUAGAGUCUUGUAGAGGGGGGUAGAAUUCCAGGUGUAGCGGUGAAAUGCGUAGAGAUCUGGAGGAAUACCGGUGGCGAAGGCGGCCCCCUGGACAAAGACUGACGCUCAGGUGCGAAAGCGUGGGGAGCAAACAGGAUUAGAUACCCUGGUAGUCCACGCCGUAAACGAUGUCGAUUUGGAGGUUGUGCCCUUGAGGCGUGGCUUCCGGAGCUAACGCGUUAAAUCGACCGCCUGGGGAGUACGGCCGCAAGGUUAAAACUCAAAUGAAUUGACGGGGGCCCGCACAAGCGGUGGAGCAUGUGGUUUAAUUCGAUGCAACGCGAAGAACCUUACCUGGUCUUGACAUCCACAGAACUUAGCAGAGAUGCUUUGGUGCCUUCGGGAACUGUGAGACAGGUGCUGCAUGGCUGUCGUCAGCUCGUGUUGUGAAAUGUUGGGUUAAGUCCCGCAACGAGCGCAACCCUUAUCCUUUGUUGCCAGCGGUCCGGCCGGGAACUCAAAGGAGACUGCCAGUGAUAAACUGGAGGAAGGUGGGGAUGACGUCAAGUCAUCAUGGCCCUUACGACCAGGGCUACACACGUGCUACAAUGGCAUAUACAAAGAGAAGCGACCUCGCGAGAGCAAGCGGACCUCAUAAAGUAUGUCGUAGUCCGGAUUGGAGUCUGCAACUCGACUCCAUGAAGUCGGAAUCGCUAGUAAUCGUAGAUCAGAAUGCUACGGUGAAUACGUUCCCGGGCCU